RNAcentral lists this ribosomal RNA (467 nucleotides) under uncultured bacterium. Its description in RNAcentral is "bacterial SSU rRNA". It matches the Rfam family "Bacterial small subunit ribosomal RNA", at positions 330 to 801 of the family's 1533-position model. The record is from RNAcentral.
ACCGUACUCCUACGGGAGGCAGCAGUGGGGAAUUUUGCACAAUGGGCGCAAGCCUGAUGCAGCGACGCCGCGUGGGGGAUGACGGCCUUCGGGUUGUAAACUCCUUUCGCUAUCGACGAAGCCACCUUUGGUGGUGACGGUAGGUAGAUAAGAAGCACCGGCUAACUACGUGCCAGCAGCCGCGGUAAUACGUAGGGUGCAAGCGUUGUCCGGAAUUACUGGGCGUAAAGAGCUCGUAGGUGGUUUGUCGCGUCGUCUGUGAAAUCCCGGGGCUUAACUUCGGGCGUGCAGGCGAUACGGGCAUAACUUGAGUGCUGUAGGGGAGACUGGAAUUCCUGGUGUAGCGGUGAAAUGCGCAGAUAUCAGGAGGAACACCGAUGGCGAAGGCAGGUCUCUGGGCAGUAACUGACGCUGAGGAGCGAAAGCAUGGGUAGCGAACAGGAUUAGAAACCCGGGUAGUCCUUGAC